GCAACAACAGAGUUUAAUUACAAUCUACUUCGAUAGGACCACAAAGUGUCCGAUUUCACAUGAAAUGAUCCAAUAACAGAACAAAACAAUCCUAUAUUUGAAAGUUUAAUCAAUUCUUACAUGCACUGACCAAGGUUGUGAGAAUAACAAUAUACAGCAAUGUGGAGUUUCUCAAUUUUUUUUUUCAGUCGCCUCACUCUUUAAAUUAAUGAAAUAUUUAUAUUUAAUGCAGAUUAUCAUUAGAAUACAUACUAUCUUUGAAGACAAAGAGAUGGAAAACACAUGUAGGAUACUAUGCAAUGUGUUUCAAAUUUCAUGUUAGCCAUGUUCCUGAGGAAGACUCCCUGGCACCCUGGUUGAGAAACACUGUAACAGGGCAUUAACAUAGCAGAGUGACUUGAUGCACGAGAAUGGGUGUGUCUGACAGUGGUGCAGCAGCAGCUUAUGACGACAACAACAACAACAAAUCAAGAGAUCAAAAAAAUGGUUGCUGCAUCCGUAGCAACUAUUUCAUUGGCUGAGGCACGUGCGUCAUCCGUGCAAAAGUUUGACCAUUCGGUGAGUAGUUGGAAGUUUUUUUCCGGAUGGAUCCACCUCAGCUUUCUUCUUUUAUUUUUAGGUAUCCAGUGAAAAGUCAUGGAUGGUUUGUUACCCUAUCUGCAUGUGCAAUCCUCAGCACAACGGGUGUUUAUGCUGUUUAGUUAUCAGUGAUAUGAGUAAGGUUUGGUUACGAGUUGCCAAGAUGCUCCAUUCAUAAUGCUUAUUAAUUUUGACUCGUCAAAAGUGGGCGUGGCUAAGCGGCGGGUAGUCAGGGUGACGUAAGCCUGCCCUGUUUUUUCGAUUGGCCAGGCUUAGCCGUUUUGUUAUUUUCAUAAACUACAACAAUCAAACGAAAUAAAAAAAUUCUUUCACAUUAACACGACCAGGAAAACAUAUUAUGAACUGUUAUAACACAUAAUCAUGCAAGAAGGUUAAAAAAAAAUGGCAUGGCCUCUUUAACACUUGACGGCGACGGCACCAACAGAUACAACACCUCCAGGGCCGGACUACCGCAUAGGCUAGGUAUGGCUGAAGCCUAGGGGCCCCCAACAAUUCAUCUGUCGUGUAAAGUAUAGUUUUAAAUCUUAUUAAUACUCCUGUCCAUAGUAGCGUGCAAUCUGUAGCCCAGGGCCCCCGAGCCAUGUUAAUCCGGGCCUGAACACCAUGCAAACGAGACCACAGGUCAGGGCGGCAGGAAGUGAACCAAUUCAAUGUGGACGUGUGUGAAUGAGGUGUAAAGGGCCGUACACACACGUCGCUGCUAGUUACUCGCUCAGCGGAUGAAGUCAAUAGAAUGUCUACGUGUUCCAGCGAGUCUCGCUGGCGAGUAGGCGAGGAGAGUACAAGCGAGGCGAUGUGGGCGGGUUCCGAGAUAAACUUAUUUUAUCUUCGAGCGACGCGAGUUAAGCGAGUAACCAAUUGGAAUGGAGAAUACAGAUUAUUGACAGGUGACGUUGCCCCUGUGGUGUUCUGACCACCCAACUUCUGCAUGCCAUCACACUUUGGUUAAAAGUGUUGAGGAAAAUACAUCCAAUACAGUGUACACCAUCAAAGGCUCAUGUGCAUGGUUGUGCACAGCACACGAUUAAACCGUCUCUGGUUAAACAGCGUAGACCUACAUUUUGUUUCAUACGGACGUGUUGAAGAGUAGUUUGUCGAGGGGUCUUGGAGUAGUGGCACAGUGAACCAGCAGGAGGCAGAGAUGGUGUUUUUGCCGUUUAUUUUGCGACACCAAGUGCAUUAUAGUGAAAAUCCAGUGAGCCCGUGGAAAAUAAUAAACAAAAAACUAAACUAAACUUAAAUGUAGAAAAAUAUAUACAUCUGGUCUAUUUACAAUAUUUACAGGAAAAAUAAAUGGGCUAUGAUAAGCCAACAUAACAAAAUGGGAAAAUAAACAAAAUAGCCACAGGCUCACAAUAUUGUUCAAGUCAACAAAGUUACUCACACUUCAGAGUAAUGGAGCAUAAGGACGCACGUCCGUUCACCAAGGAGCUCUCCCGACUACUGAGAAAAUUCCCCAUUAUCAGGGCUACCUGACGCACCACGCAGAUGGACUAUACCAUUAUAGUUAGAAACUACAGGGGUGCUAAAAGUCAGAAUGACAUUAACAUUAAAUAUCACAAGUUAAAAUGGUACCAUUACUACAUAAAUCAUAUUAGGCCUUCUACAUCAACAUACUACACAUGUACAGACAUCACUACAGUCAUUUGGGGAUUUAACCACCGAAAUAUUACCGCGAGGGUGCAACCAUGUGCACUCACAACUCUACUCGGGAAUAUAGCAUUGGCAAACACUGACGCGCAUCUUUUAGGAAGAUGCGGUAAUGAGGAAGCGCUGGUCUAUUUAUUUUAUCUUUUGAGGAGGAUGACAGAAAAAUGUCUGCACACUUAGAACUCGCCUGGGUGGAUGGCAGAGAUCUCCUCCAGGGAACUUUUGGCACACAACAUUGGAUAUGGUCUGAACCAGCUGGUUUUCAUGGGUUGAUUGUGGCAGACAGAGUUAGACACACACACACAGUGUUUCUCACAGAUGCUUCUGGAGAGAAUGAUUUUUUGGAAAAUUAUAACAAGAUGAAAUAUAACCAAGAAUGAAUUAUAUACGGGAUGAGCAAAAUAAAAUGAAUUGUAAUAAUUAUGUAAAGGCAAUAGCAUGAAACUAGGUGGACAGAUUUCUGGCCAGAAACACCAGCCUGUCAGUAUGUUCUGGCUUCAAGGACGCUCUAAAAGCUUGAACUUUGGCUGAUCUCUUCAAGAUGCAAGAGGAUUGAGGAACACAUUUUUUGCUGGCAGGAGACAACCUGAAAUGACUGGGGAGCUUUGUGUACACCAACAGCAACAACAGUUAAGAUCAAACCAGCCAGGGUUAUUGGGAGCUGGUGGGCCUUCCCUGUGUAGAUGAUGUUCUAUCUGAUUUGGCCAGGAGAAGACUGCUGUACUAAUAUUAUGCACAACGUUCAACUGAUUGAACUGCUGAUCUGGCAGACCUCUCCAACAAAGCAGAAGAGAGAAGACAUGUUUAUUGCUGCCAGGAGACGAGCUGAAACAACCCGGGACUCAAGCUCGAUGUACAACAGCAUCAACACUCAAGGUACUGGGAAAUAACUGCACUUCAUAUGGAUACACACACAGACUCCGCUGAAACUCCCCAAAAUCCAGCCACCAUCAGCACUGAAGAUAACCUGAGGAUUGCAUAAUCUACAUUUUAGCCUCCAAUGUCUGAGUAUUGUUCCCUUGUGGUCUUUUGUUAGUAUGCUAAAUCUGUAAUUUGAUAUUAAUACAAAAUUAUUGUUUCUGGAAUGUACUGUGAGUAUUCUUUGUGAUGUGAUGUGUGAAUAAAUUUUGAAAGCUUU
Molecule: long non-coding RNA, 3388 nt
Organism: Engraulis encrasicolus (European anchovy)
Lineage: Eukaryota; Metazoa; Chordata; Actinopteri; Clupeiformes; Engraulidae
Exons: 9
Source: RefSeq, a predicted model, not a curated record